UCCCUUCCGGCUACCUUGUGCAAGUACC
Molecule: small RNA, 28 nt
Filed under: Bombyx mori (domestic silkworm)
Lineage: Eukaryota; Metazoa; Arthropoda; Insecta; Lepidoptera; Bombycidae
Description: ovarian small RNA-27429
Source: RNAcentral